This 439-nucleotide ribosomal RNA is filed under the name uncultured bacterium. RNAcentral describes it as "partial 16S ribosomal RNA". It matches the Rfam family "Bacterial small subunit ribosomal RNA", at positions 342 to 795 of the family's 1533-position model. The record is from RNAcentral.
CGGGGUGCUGCAGCAGUGAGGAAUAUUGCACAAUGGGGGGAACCCUGAUGCAGCAACGCCGCGUGGAGGAUGACGCAUUUCGGUGUGUAAACUCCUUUUAUAUGUCAAGAAAAUGACGGUGGCAUAUGAAUAAGCACCGGCUAACUCCGUGCCAGCAGCCGCGGUAAUACGGAGGGUGCAAGCGUUACUCGGAAUCACUGGGCGUAAAGGACGCGUAGGCGGGUUGGAAAGUCAGGUGUGAAAUCCUACAGCUUAACUGUAGAACUGCACUUGAAACUUCUAAUCUAGAGUAUGGGAGGGGGAGAUGGAAUUAGUGGUGUAGGGGUAAAAUCCGUAGAUAUCACUAGGAAUACCUAAAGCGAAGGCGAUCUCCUGGAACAUUACUGACGCUAAGGCGUGAAAGCGUGGGGAGCAAACAGGAUUAGGUACCCGCGUAGUC